GGGGAGAUACCCAAGUGGUCAAAGGGGGCUGACUGUAAAUCAGUUGCGUAACGCUUCGGAGGUUCGAAUCCUCCUCUCCCCACCAGAU
Molecule: transfer RNA, 88 nt
Filed under: Symbiobacterium thermophilum IAM 14863
Lineage: Bacteria; Bacillati; Bacillota; Clostridia; Eubacteriales; Symbiobacteriaceae
Description: tRNA-Tyr
Rfam family: tRNA
About the family: Transfer RNA (tRNA) molecules are approximately 80 nucleotides in length. Their secondary structure includes four short double-helical elements and three loops (D, anti-codon, and T loops). Further hydrogen bonds mediate the characteristic L-shaped molecular structure. tRNAs have two regions of fundamental functional importance: the anti-codon, which is responsible for specific mRNA codon recognition, and the 3' end, to which the tRNAs corresponding amino acid is attached (by aminoacyl-tRNA synthetases). tRNAs cope with the degeneracy of the genetic code in two manners: having more than one tRNA (with a specific anti-codon) for a particular amino acid; and 'wobble' base-pairing, i.e. permitting non-standard base-pairing at the 3rd anti-codon position.
Source: RNAcentral